Molecule: ribosomal RNA, 497 nt
Filed under: uncultured bacterium
Lineage: Bacteria
Description: partial 16S ribosomal RNA
Rfam family: Bacterial small subunit ribosomal RNA
Source: RNAcentral
GAUGAACGCUGGCGGCGUGCCUAAUACAUGCAAGUCGAGCGAACGGACGAGAAGCUUGCGCCCCUGAUUUUAGCGGCGGACGGGAGAGUCACAUGUGGUUAACCUAACUCUACGACUGGGGUAAUUUUGGCAAAUCGUAUCUAAUACCGGAUAAUAUUUUGCCUCGCAUUGUUCCAAAGUGAAAGACGGUCUUUCUUUCAGUAAUAGAUGACUCCGCGCUGCAUCAGUUAGUUGUCUAGGUAACGGGUUACCAAGGCAAGGAUGGAUAGCCGACCCCAGAGGGAGAUCGGCCACCUUGGAACUGAGACAGAGUCCAGACUCCGAGACGAGGACGCAGUAGGGAAUCCUACGCGAGGGGGGAGUGGCUGACGGAGCAACGCCGCGUGAGUGAUGAACGUCUACGGCUCGUAAAACGCUGUAAUUAGGGGAGAACAAAAGUGUAAGUAACUGUGAACAUCAUGACGGUACCUAAUGAAAAAGCCACGGCUAACUCCGUG